Molecule: unclassified non-coding RNA, 432 nt
Filed under: soil metagenome
Description: partial contains 5.8S ribosomal RNA, internal transcribed spacer 2, and large subunit ribosomal RNA
Rfam family: 5.8S ribosomal RNA (bases 1-120)
Source: RNAcentral
GAUGAAGAACGUAGCGAAAUGCGAUACGUAAUGUGAAUUGCAGAAUUCAGUGAAUCAUCGAAUCUUUGAACGCAUAUUGCGCUCUCUGGUAUUCCGGAGAGCAUGCUUGUUUGAGUAUCAGUAAACACCUCAACUCCCCUUUCUUUUUUUGAAAUGGGAGCUGGACUUGAGUGAUCCCAACGCUUUUCUCACCGAAAAGUGGCGGGUUACUUGAAAUGCAGGUGCAGCUGGACUUUUCUCUGAGCUAAAAGCAUAUCUAUUUAGUCUGCCUAAAAAACAGAUUAUUACCUUUGCUGCAGCUAACAUAAAGGAGAUUAGUUCUUGUGCUGACUGAUGCAGGAUUCACAGAGACAGCUUCGGCUGGCCUUUGUAAACUCGAUCUCAAAUCAAGUAAGACUACCCGCUGAACUUAAGCAUAUCAAUAACGGAGGA